UUUUUACAUACAUGUAUCUGAGGAACUUGAGGAACCUAAGUUAUAGUCUGACUUAGCAUACAAGAUUAUUUGUAUCACUUUUUUUUGGAUAUGUUUCAUGAUUUUGAUAAUUGAGAGAGACACAUUUAAUUUGUUUUGCAGCAUGUUUCAUAUUGAGUACAAGAUCUUGUAGACGGAAUGGAAGUUUUGCAGACUGUGUUCUUAUGCUUUAAUUUGGUCAGCUGUCUACUAAUGACUUCAUAUUUCAUUCUUUUUUGUUGAUACUCAGCAAAAAAUUGUGAUGUUAAAACUUAUCUAUAUUAGGUUGAAGCUUAAAUUGUGAUGUUUCAUAUUGAGUACAGGAUCUUAUAGACUCGAUGGUAGUUUUGCAGGCUGUGUUCUUAUGCUUUAAUUUGGUCAGCUCUCUACUUAAAAUGACUUCAUAUUUCAGUAUUUUUUGUUGAUACUCAGCAAAUUUGAACAAUUAUGUAUCAUUCCUUCUAAUUCUUCUAUGAAAGUUUGUCCUUAGAUUUUCAGACUUUCUCACUCAUCCCGGGGAUAACUUUUUUAUGUAAAACUAACCCACGAGUCAAGGAGGACCAUUAUGCUGCAAAACUCUCCUUCAAGAGAUUAAACACUGCUGCAUGUCUAGGGCUAGGAGAUUUAAUGCUGCUGCAUGCUUAGGUCCGGGUUUAAACGAGGACUUCUGGUUAUGCUGGUAGAGUCCCUUACCAUAUCAACCAGAGAUAAUCUUUUUUACACACAUGUAUCUGAGGAACUUGAGGAACCUUAGCAUACAAGAUUAUUUAUGAAACUAAAAAUCAAUUCAACCAUAUGGGUAUCCCUCAAAGAGUCUGCAACUGGAGCAAGAACUUGACUUAAAGUGGAGCCUAGUUGAGCAGAAGACGUUGCAAUUGGUUUUUGUCGUUGUGAUUGUACUUUCAUCCGGUGAUCUCUAGAGCCU
Molecule: long non-coding RNA, 943 nt
Filed under: Lathyrus oleraceus (garden pea)
Lineage: Eukaryota; Viridiplantae; Streptophyta; Magnoliopsida; Fabales; Fabaceae
Description: Pisum sativum (pea) long non-coding RNA (PSAT_LNC039818)
Source: RNAcentral